GGAGGAAGAACGCUGCUUCUCCGGGGAGUUUUCCGCCGCCUCUCCUUCGCGUUUAACGGUUUCCGAGCUCCGGACGCCUCCGCGGGAACGAUCUUCAUCACCUCCUCCUCUUCAUCACCUCCUCCUCUUCAUCACCUCCUCCUCUUCAUCAUCAGACCUUCACUCACACAGGAACCAUCUUGUCCUCGGUGAGGAAGAGGACGAGUCUCACCUGAGGCAGGAUGAAGCUCUGAGGAGGAGGAGGAGGAGGACUGUCAGGGCAGCGGCUCAGGAGCAGGAGGAGGAGCAGGAGCAGGAGGAGGAUGGGGAAGGAGCAGGAGCUGCUGCAGGCGGUGAAGACUGGAGACCUGCAGUCCACCCAGAAGCUGCUGUCCAAGCUGAAGUCCAGCAGGAACAGUAAGUCCUGGUCCAGGUCCUCGGACCUGAUCCAUUUCACAAAGUCUCUGUUGGAGCUGAAGUCCUGUUUCCAGUCUGAGUCUGAAGGUUCAGGUCCUGGUCUGUUCUGGUCCCUCUGUGGUCCUCGUUAGACCCGGUCCAGACCAGGUCCAGACCCGGUCCAGACUUCAGCCUGACGUAAACAAACCCUGAAGGCUGGAAAGUGUUUCAUAUGUAAACAAGACGAGGUGAUAAAAGGUCACAAACAAACAAACAAACAAACAAACAAACAAACAAACAAACAAACAAGCAGAUCAGACUCUGGGACCACAGCAGGUCCUACAACAACCAGAUCAGUCUCCUGUAAUCCAGUUUACUCUCCUGCUGAGAGGUCCCUGAACGCACCGUCCUGUUUCAGCAUUAAUGUUUCCAUCAGAACCAGAACCAGAACCAGAACUGUUCCUGGUGGGUGUAGUCCUGAUGGGGCCUGCUGCAGCUGAAGCCUCUCAGACCUUCAGCUGUUUGCUCGUCUCGGCUGCUAAAUGUUUCAACCAGCCGAACUGUUUUCCCUCUGAGGGGACAAACAAAGACCCUGUUCUGGGACUGAGAACCCCCAGGACCCACCUGGACCCCACUGGACCCCCGGCUGUCAGCAUCUGUCCUGCUGUAGCUUCAGAACGAGGAGAUGCUGGUGUUGUCUUUAAAGGCUGUUUGUUUGUUUGUUUGUUUGUUUGUUUGUUUGUUUGUUUGUUUGUUGGUUUGUUGGUUUGUUGGUGUCUCAGAUCCAUUUCUAGAUAAACAGAACCAUCAGA
Molecule: long non-coding RNA, 1187 nt
Organism: Austrofundulus limnaeus
Lineage: Eukaryota; Metazoa; Chordata; Actinopteri; Cyprinodontiformes; Rivulidae
Exons: 2
Source: RefSeq, a predicted model, not a curated record